UACGGAGGGUGCAAGCGUUGUCCGGAUUUAUUGGGUUUAAAGGGUGCGUAGGUGGGCAGUUAAGUCAGUGGUGAAAUCUCCGGGCUCAACCCGGAAACUGCCAUUGAUACUAUCUGUCUUGAAUAUCGUGGAGGUAAGCGGAAUAUGUCAUGUAGCGGUGAAAUGCUUAGAUAUGACAUAGAACACCAAUUGCGAAGGCAGCUUACUACCCGAAUAUUGACACUGAGGCACGAAAGCGUGGGGAUCAAACAGG
RNAcentral lists this ribosomal RNA (253 nucleotides) under uncultured bacterium. Its description in RNAcentral is "partial 16S ribosomal RNA". It matches the Rfam family "Bacterial small subunit ribosomal RNA", at positions 524 to 776 of the family's 1533-position model. The record is from RNAcentral.